UUAUGCGCUAGAGCAUAACUGGGAAGGGGGUGACAAUCCCCCGCAGCCCCCGCUGCUGUGAUGCUGACGAACCCGCUGUUACCACUGAUCCAUCGGAUUGGGAAGGUGCGGGGGAGAAUGAUGCUAAGCCAGAAGACCAGCCAAAUCG
RNAcentral lists this non-coding RNA (148 nucleotides) under Yersinia mollaretii. The record is from RNAcentral. Lineage: Bacteria; Pseudomonadati; Pseudomonadota; Gammaproteobacteria; Enterobacterales; Yersiniaceae.